AGAACGAACGCUGGCGGCAGGCUUAACACAUGCAAGUCGAACGCGUGUAGCAAUACACGAGUGGCGCACGGGUGAGUAACGCGUGGAUAUCUGCCUUUUGGUUCGGAAUAACCCCGGGAAACUGGGGCUAAAUACCGGAUGGUUCCUACGGGAUAAAGAUUUAUCGCCAAAAGAUGAGUCCGCGUCCGAUUAGCUAGUUGGUGGGGUAAUGGCCUACCAAGGCGACGAUCGGUAGCUGGUCUGAGAGGACGAUCAGCCACACUGGGACUGAGACACGGCCCAGACUCCUACGGGAGGCAGCAGUGGGGAAUAUUGGACAAUGGGGGCAAACCCUGAUCCAGCCAUGCCGCGUGAGUGAUGAAGGCCUUCGGGUUGUAAAGCUCUUUUGGCGGGACGAUGAUGACGGUACCCGCAGAAUAAGCCCCGGCUAACUUCGCGCCAGCAGCCGC
Molecule: ribosomal RNA, 449 nt
Filed under: uncultured bacterium
Lineage: Bacteria
Description: SSU rRNA
Rfam family: Bacterial small subunit ribosomal RNA
Source: RNAcentral